Molecule: transfer RNA, 71 nt
Filed under: Marmota monax (woodchuck)
Lineage: Eukaryota; Metazoa; Chordata; Mammalia; Rodentia; Sciuridae
Also listed under: 1 other name
Rfam family: tRNA
About the family: Transfer RNA (tRNA) molecules are approximately 80 nucleotides in length. Their secondary structure includes four short double-helical elements and three loops (D, anti-codon, and T loops). Further hydrogen bonds mediate the characteristic L-shaped molecular structure. tRNAs have two regions of fundamental functional importance: the anti-codon, which is responsible for specific mRNA codon recognition, and the 3' end, to which the tRNAs corresponding amino acid is attached (by aminoacyl-tRNA synthetases). tRNAs cope with the degeneracy of the genetic code in two manners: having more than one tRNA (with a specific anti-codon) for a particular amino acid; and 'wobble' base-pairing, i.e. permitting non-standard base-pairing at the 3rd anti-codon position.
Source: Rfam by way of RNAcentral
GGGGAGAUAGCUCAGUGGUAAAGCACUUGCCUAGCAUGCAUGAGGCCCUGGGUUCAAUCCCCAUCACCACA